UGGAUGAGUUGCGAACGGGUGAGUAGCGCGUAGGUAACCUGCCUGGUAGCGGGGGAUAACUAUUGGAAACGAUAGCUAAUACCGCAUAAGAGUAGAUGUUGCAUGACAUUUGCUUAAAAGGUGCACUUGCAUCACUACCAGAUGGACCUGCGUUGUAUUAGCUAGUUGGUGGGGUAACGGCUCACCAAGGCGACGAUACAUAGCCGACCUGAGAGGGUGAUCGGCCACACUGGGACUGAGACACGGCCCAGACUCCUACGGGAGGCAGCAGUAGGGAAUCUUCGGCAAUGGACGGAAGUCUGACCGAGCAACGCCGCGUGAGUGAAGAAGGUUUUCGGAUCGUAAAGCUCUGUUGUAAGAGAAGAACGAGUGUGAGAGUGGAAAGUUCACACUGUGACGGUAUCUUACCAGAAAGGGACGGCUAACUACGUGCCAGCAGCCGCGGUAAUACGUAGGUCCCGAAGCGUUGUCCGGAUUUAUUGGGCGUAAAGCGAGCGCAGGCGGUUAGAUAAGUCUGAAGCUAAAGGCUGUGGCUUAACCAUAGUAGGCUUUGGAAACUGUUUAACUUGAGUGCAAGAGGGGAGAGUGGAAUUCCAUGUGUAGCGGUGAAAUGCGUAGAUAUAUGGAGGAACACCGGUGGCGAAAGCGGCUCUCUGGCUUGUAACUGACGCUGAGGCUCGAAAGCGUGGGGAGCAAACAGGAUAGAUACCCUGGUAGUCCACGCUGCUAAACGAUGAGUGCUAGGUGUUAGACCC
Molecule: ribosomal RNA, 755 nt
Filed under: uncultured Streptococcus sp.
Lineage: Bacteria; Bacillati; Bacillota; Bacilli; Lactobacillales; Streptococcaceae
Description: bacterial SSU rRNA
Rfam family: Bacterial small subunit ribosomal RNA
Source: RNAcentral